CCUACGGGUGGCUGCAGUGGGGAAUAUUGGACAAUGGGGGGAACCCUGAUCCAGCCAUGCCGCGUGUGUGAAGAAGGCCCUCGGGUUGUAAAGCACUUUCAGUGAGGAAGAACGCCUGGUGGUUAAUACCCAUCAGGAAAGACAUCACUCACAGAAGAAGCACCGGCUAACUCCGUGCCAGCAGCCGCGGUAAUACGGAGGGUGCGAGCGUUAAUCGGAAUUACUGGGCGUAAAGCGCGCGUAGGUGGCUUGAUAAGCCGGUUGUGAAAGCCCCGGGCUCAACCUGGGAACGGCAUCCGGAACUGUCAAGCUAGAGUGCAGGAGAGGAAGGUAGAAUUCCCGGUGUAGCGGUGAAAUGCGUAGAGAUCGGGAGGAAUAACAGUGGCGAAGGCGGCCUUCUGGACUGACACUGACACUGAGGUGCGAAAGCGUGGGUAGCAAACAGGAAUAGAUACCCUAGUAGUC
Molecule: ribosomal RNA, 465 nt
Filed under: Vreelandella stevensii
Lineage: Bacteria; Pseudomonadati; Pseudomonadota; Gammaproteobacteria; Oceanospirillales; Halomonadaceae
Description: partial 16S ribosomal RNA
Rfam family: Bacterial small subunit ribosomal RNA
Source: RNAcentral